GACAGGGGGUGCAAACGUUGCUCGGAAUCACUGGGCGUAAAGCGCACGUAGGCGGUCGUGUAAGUCGGGUGUGAAAGCCCUUGGCUCAACCAAGGAACAGCACCUGAUACUGCACGGCUUGAGGACGGGAGGGGAGAGUGGAACUCUUGGUGGAGCGGUGAAAUGCGUAGAUAUCAGGAGGAACACCGGUGGCGAAAGCGACUCUCUGGUCCGUUCCUGACGCUGAGGUGCGAAAGCUAGGGGAGCAAACGGG
This 253-nucleotide ribosomal RNA is filed under the name uncultured bacterium. RNAcentral describes it as "partial 16S ribosomal RNA". It matches the Rfam family "Bacterial small subunit ribosomal RNA", at positions 524 to 776 of the family's 1533-position model. The record is from RNAcentral.